GUGGGUUGUGACUCAGCGGUAGAGUGCUUGCCUAGCAUGUGUGAGGCCCUGGGUUCAAUCCUCAGCACCACA
This 72-nucleotide transfer RNA is filed under the name Marmota monax (woodchuck). Its description in RNAcentral is "tRNA.Ala". The record is from RNAcentral. Lineage: Eukaryota; Metazoa; Chordata; Mammalia; Rodentia; Sciuridae.